GAUCAUGGCUCAGGAUGAACGCUAGCUACAGGCUUAACACAUGCAAGUCGAGGGGCAGCAUUUUAGUUUGCUUGCAAACUAAAGAUGGCGACCGGCGCACGGGUGAGUAACACGUAUCCAACCUGCCGAUAACUCAGGGAUAGCCUUUCGAAAGAAAGAUUAAUAACCUGAUGGCAUAGGAUUAUCGCAUGAUAAUCCUAUUAAAGAAUUUCGGUUAUCGAAUGGGGUAUGCGUU
This 235-nucleotide ribosomal RNA is filed under the name uncultured bacterium. RNAcentral's name for it is "partial 16S ribosomal RNA". It matches the Rfam family "Bacterial small subunit ribosomal RNA", at positions 15 to 237 of the family's 1533-position model. The record is from RNAcentral.